GGGGAUUUAGCUCAGCGGCAUAAGCGCCUGCCUUGCAAGCAGGAAGUCGUGAGUUCGAUCUCCG
Cavia porcellus (domestic guinea pig) is the source of this 64-nucleotide transfer RNA. It matches the Rfam family "tRNA". Rfam says of the family: Transfer RNA (tRNA) molecules are approximately 80 nucleotides in length. Their secondary structure includes four short double-helical elements and three loops (D, anti-codon, and T loops). Further hydrogen bonds mediate the characteristic L-shaped molecular structure. tRNAs have two regions of fundamental functional importance: the anti-codon, which is responsible for specific mRNA codon recognition, and the 3' end, to which the tRNAs corresponding amino acid is attached (by aminoacyl-tRNA synthetases). tRNAs cope with the degeneracy of the genetic code in two manners: having more than one tRNA (with a specific anti-codon) for a particular amino acid; and 'wobble' base-pairing, i.e. permitting non-standard base-pairing at the 3rd anti-codon position. Lineage: Eukaryota; Metazoa; Chordata; Mammalia; Rodentia; Caviidae. The record is from Rfam.